CAGCAGCCGCGGUAAUACGAAGGGGGCUAGCGUUGCUCGGAAUGACUGGGCGUAAAGGGCGCGUAGGCGGCGGCCAAAGUCAGGCGUGAAAUUCCCGGGCUCAACCUGGGGGCUGCGUUUGAUACUUGGUUGCUUGAGUGGGGAAGAGGGUCGUGGAAUUCCCAGUGUAGAGGUGAAAUUCGUAGAGAUGUGGAGGAACACCAGUGGCGAAGGCGACUCUCUGGUCUGUAAUUGACGCUGAUGCACGAAAGCUAGGGGAGCAAACAGGAUUAGAUACCCCCGUAGUCCCUGUCUCUUAUAC
This 301-nucleotide ribosomal RNA is filed under the name uncultured bacterium. RNAcentral describes it as "partial 16S ribosomal RNA". It matches the Rfam family "Bacterial small subunit ribosomal RNA", at positions 509 to 807 of the family's 1533-position model. The record is from RNAcentral.